GAUGAACGCUGGCGGCGUGCCUAAUACAUGCAAGUCGAGCGAACAGACGAGGAGCUUGCUCCUCUGACGUUAGCGGCGGACGGGUGAGUAACACGUGGAUAACCUACCUAUAAGACUGGGAUAACUUCGGGAAACCGGAGCUAAUACCGGAUAAUAUAUUGAACCGCAUGGUUCAAUAGUGAAAGACGGUUUUGCUGUCACUUAUAGAUUGAUCCGCGCGGCAUUAGCUAGUUGGUAAGGUAACGGCUUACCAAGGCAACGAUGCUUAGCCGACCUGAGAGGUGGACCGCCAACCUGGGACCUGGGACACGGCCCAGACUCCUACGGGAGGAAGAAGAAGGGAAUCUUCGGCAAUGGGCGAAAGCCUGACGGGGCAACGCGGCGUGAGUGAUGAAGGCCUUCGGAUCGUAAAACUCUGUUAUUAGGGAAGAACAAAUGUGUAAGUAACUAGGCACGUCUUGACGGUACCUAAUCAGAAAGCCACGGCUAACUACGUG
This 497-nucleotide ribosomal RNA is filed under the name uncultured bacterium. RNAcentral's name for it is "partial 16S ribosomal RNA". It matches the Rfam family "Bacterial small subunit ribosomal RNA", at positions 28 to 507 of the family's 1533-position model. The record is from RNAcentral.